Molecule: transfer RNA, 64 nt
Organism: Cavia porcellus (domestic guinea pig)
Lineage: Eukaryota; Metazoa; Chordata; Mammalia; Rodentia; Caviidae
Rfam family: tRNA
About the family: Transfer RNA (tRNA) molecules are approximately 80 nucleotides in length. Their secondary structure includes four short double-helical elements and three loops (D, anti-codon, and T loops).
Source: Rfam
GGGGAUUUAGCUCAGCGGUAUAAGUGCCUGCCUUGCAAGCAGGUAGUCGCGAGUUUAAUCCCUG